This 1475-nucleotide ribosomal RNA is filed under the name Klebsiella sp. RNAcentral describes it as "bacterial SSU rRNA". It matches the Rfam family "Bacterial small subunit ribosomal RNA". The record is from RNAcentral. Lineage: Bacteria; Pseudomonadati; Pseudomonadota; Gammaproteobacteria; Enterobacterales; Enterobacteriaceae.
GCUCAGAUUGAACGCUGGCGGCAGGCCUAACACAUGCAAGUCGAGCGGUAGCACAGAGAGCUUGCUCUCGGGUGACGAGCGGCGGACGGGUGAGUAAUGUCUGGGAAACUGCCUGAUGGAGGGGGAUAACUACUGGAAACGGUAGCUAAUACCGCAUAAUGUCGCAAGACCAAAGUGGGGGACCUUCGGGCCUCAUGCCAUCAGAUGUGCCCAGAUGGGAUUAGCUAGUAGGUGGGGUAACGGCUCACCUAGGCGACGAUCCCUAGCUGGUCUGAGAGGAUGACCAGCCACACUGGAACUGAGACACGGUCCAGACUCCUACGGGAGGCAGCAGUGGGGAAUAUUGCACAAUGGGCGCAAGCCUGAUGCAGCCAUGCCGCGUGUGUGAAGAAGGCCUUCGGGUUGUAAAGCACUUUCAGCGGGGAGGAAGGCGAUAAGGUUAAUAACCUUGUCGAUUGACGUUACCCGCAGAAGAAGCACCGGCUAACUCCGUGCCAGCAGCCGCGGUAAUACGGAGGGUGCAAGCGUUAAUCGGAAUUACUGGGCGUAAAGCGCACGCAGGCGGUCUGUCAAGUCGGAUGUGAAAUCCCCGGGCUCAACCUGGGAACUGCAUUCGAAACUGGCAGGCUAGAGUCUUGUAGAGGGGGGUAGAAUUCCAGGUGUAGCGGUGAAAUGCGUAGAGAUCUGGAGGAAUACCGGUGGCGAAGGCGGCCCCCUGGACAAAGACUGACGCUCAGGUGCGAAAGCGUGGGGAGCAAACAGGAUUAGAUACCCUGGUAGUCCACGCCGUAAACGAUGUCGAUUUGGAGGUUGUGCCCUUGAGGCGUGGCUUCCGGAGCUAACGCGUUAAAUCGACCGCCUGGGGAGUACGGCCGCAAGGUUAAAACUCAAAUGAAUUGACGGGGGCCCGCACAAGCGGUGGAGCAUGUGGUUUAAUUCGAUGCAACGCGAAGAACCUUACCUGGUCUUGACAUCCACAGAACUUAGCAGAGAUGCUUUGGUGCCUUCGGGAACUGUGAGACAGGUGCUGCAUGGCUGUCGUCAGCUCGUGUUGUGAAAUGUUGGGUUAAGUCCCGCAACGAGCGCAACCCUUAUCCUUUGUUGCCAGCGGUCCGGCCGGGAACUCAAAGGAGACUGCCAGUGAUAAACUGGAGGAAGGUGGGGAUGACGUCAAGUCAUCAUGGCCCUUACGACCAGGGCUACACACGUGCUACAAUGGCAUAUACAAAGAGAAGCGACCUCGCGAGAGCAAGCGGACCUCAUAAAGUAUGUCGUAGUCCGGAUUGGAGUCUGCAACUCGACUCCAUGAAGUCGGAAUCGCUAGUAAUCGUAGAUCAGAAUGCUACGGUGAAUACGUUCCCGGGCCUUGUACACACCGCCCGUCACACCAUGGGAGUGGGUUGCAAAAGAAGUAGGUAGCUUAACCUUCGGGAGGGCGCUUACCACUUUGUGAUUCAUGACUGGGGUGAAGUCGU